CUUUUUGACUUAAAUAUAAAGUAUAACCUGCCCAUUGAUAUUUUUAAAAGGCUGCGGUAUAUUGACCGUACAAAGGUAGCAUAAUCAUUAGUUUUUUAAUUGAGAACUUGUAUGAAUGGUUGAAUGAGAAAUGAACUUUUUUAAUAAAAAAAUUGAAUUUUACAUUUUAAUUAAAAGGUUGAAAUAUAUUUAAAAGACGAGAAGACCCUAUAGAGUUUUAUAAUUUAUAUUUAAUAUUAAAAAAAAUUAAUAGAUAUUUUUAUUUAAAUAAUUAUUUUGUUGGGGUGAUGAUAAAAUUUAACUAACUUUUAUUUUUUUUUACAUUAAUAUAUGGGAAAUUGAUCCACUAUUAGUGAUUAAAAGAUUAAAUUACCUUAGGGAUAACAGCGUAAUUUUUUUUUUAAGUUCAUAUUAAUAAAAAAUUUUGCGACCUCGAUGUUGGAUUAAGAUUUAAUUUUAGGUGCAGAAGUUUAAAAUUUAAGUCUGUUCGACUUUUAAAUUCUU
This 504-nucleotide ribosomal RNA is filed under the name Pseudolycoriella tewaipounamu. Its description in RNAcentral is "partial 16S ribosomal RNA". Lineage: Eukaryota; Metazoa; Arthropoda; Insecta; Diptera; Sciaridae. The record is from RNAcentral.